RNAcentral lists this long non-coding RNA (329 nucleotides) under Mytilus galloprovincialis (Mediterranean mussel). The record is from RNAcentral. Lineage: Eukaryota; Metazoa; Mollusca; Bivalvia; Mytilida; Mytilidae.
UGUUUGUUUGGGUUUAUUCUAGCCCCUUAAUAUAUAAUGUACAUAAGUUCAUCGAAUAUGAACUCCGAAACAUAUAAAAUUAAAAAAAUUAAAAAAAAAUAUUUACAAGACUAACCAAUAUAAAAAAGAAGAUGUGCUAUGAUUGCCAAUGAGACAACUAUCCACUAAGACCAAACUGACACAGACAUUUACAACCAUAGGUCACCGUACGGCCUUCAACAAUGAGCAAAGCCCAUACCGCAUAGUCAGCUAUAAAAGGCCCCGAUAAGACAAUGUAAAACAAUUCAAACGAGAAAACUAACGGCCUUAUUUAUGUAAAAAAAUUUAAC